AGCAGCCGCGGUAAUUCCAGCUCCAAUAGCGUAUAUUAAAGUUGUUGCAGUUAAAAAGCUCGUAGUUGAAUUUCGGGAUCAAUAUGUUGGUCGUGCCUCGGUACGUACUAGCUUAUUGGUUUCUCCUUUCUGAAGAACCAUGAUGUCAUUUAUUUGGUGUCGUGGGGAAUCAGGACUGUUACUUUGAAAAAAUUAGAGUGUUUAAAGCAGGCUCACGCUUGAAUACAUUAGCAUGGAAUAAUGAAAUAGGACGUUUGAUUCUAUUUUGUUGGUUUUUAGGAUCGACGUAAUGAUUAAUAGGGAUAGUUGGGGGCAUUAGUAUUCAAUUGUCAGAGGUGAAAUUCUUGGAUUUAUUGAAGACUAACUACUGCGAAAGCAUUUGCCAAGGAUGUUUUCAUUAAUCAAGAACGAAAGUUAGGGGAUCGAAGACGAUCAGAUACCGUCGCAGUCUUAACCAUAAACUAUGCCGACUAGGGAUCGGAUGAUGUUAAUUUUUUAAUGACUCAUUC
This 509-nucleotide unclassified non-coding RNA is filed under the name uncultured Glomus. RNAcentral describes it as "SSU rRNA". It matches the Rfam family "Eukaryotic small subunit ribosomal RNA", at positions 569 to 1081 of the family's 1831-position model. The record is from RNAcentral. Lineage: Eukaryota; Fungi; Glomeromycota; Glomeromycetes; Glomerales; Glomeraceae.